This is a long non-coding RNA of Lingula anatina, 458 nucleotides long. Lineage: Eukaryota; Metazoa; Brachiopoda; Lingulata; Lingulida; Lingulidae. The record is from RefSeq and is a predicted model, not a curated record.
CUCCAAUCUUACCCGCAUCAUAUUUAAAAUCAAACAGCAAUCACAAACAUACUUGUAAUCAUUGGAAGAUCAAGGUUACAAAGAUUAGCUGAAACGGAACAAAACCAACUGAAUCAUAAGGAUGCGGUGUCAGUGGGUUCUCCUGAUUGUGGUAGGUGUGCCGUGGAUUGUGCACAACGGGGUGAUAGGUGUGAAGAAAAAGGUAUUAGAUAAAGACUUGCAGAGAGAGACAAAGCCUAAAGGACCUGUUGCAAGGGGUAAACUUAUUGAAAUCAACAACUUUACAAUUGUCACAGGCGCUAAUCACAAGUAUUUUUCCCCGGCUCUCGUUAACCACGUGGGGUCAUUCUGUUUCUGGGAACCAACUCUCAAAAUCGUGGUGUGGGACCUCGGUUUGACCGCCAAAGAGGCGGAGACUGUGAAAAGCUGGUCCAGCGUGACGUAUAGGAGGUUCCCCU